Molecule: long non-coding RNA, 957 nt
Organism: Brassica rapa (field mustard)
Lineage: Eukaryota; Viridiplantae; Streptophyta; Magnoliopsida; Brassicales; Brassicaceae
Source: RefSeq, a predicted model, not a curated record
GUUCGGUUAGUAACUUUGAUUAUUCUCUUGUUCUCUGCAUCAUUCAACACAAUCGUCUUCGCUGGGUUAACGUUCGAUAACGAAUCUCUCAAUACCAAAAUAGGAGUAGCGAUUUGGAAUCAAAAGGUGGUAAAAAAUGUAAGGGGUGCAGUAAAGCCCAGUAUCUCACGGCCUGCGCGUCAACGAUCAAGUCCAAGGAGUGGUUCUGAAAACUCUAAUUCGACUCAAUGGGAAAGUUAUGUUGCUAUCAUUGAGGCAUUUGGCAUUUUUUCCGGUAACUAGCUUCAUGUAUUUGACAAUAUGAUCAGUUCAUAUGUGCUCUGUUUCAUAUUUUAAUAAAUUUCUUUUUGAGUGGCACAAUCUAUUCUAUUAAAAUACCAACUUGACCUAUUGAUAUAGGUGUGAUCCAACUAUUUUAAUACAAUUAUUAAAAUAUUUUAUUAAUUAUUUAAAAAAAUAUUAUAAAAAAUCACAAAUAUGACUAAAACACACAAAUAUUAAAAUUAAUUUUUUAAAAAAAUGUAAAACAAAAAAUAUAUCCAUCUAGUAUAACUUUAAAGCUUUUCAUGGGUUGGCCAAAGACUAGUCAAUAGCAAACACAAAUUUGAAACAUUUCACAAAGGAAUAGAUUUCAUAUUUACUUAAUCAGUAGUACCACUAAACAAACAUUGCUAUUAUUUGUUUUCAAUAGUUGUCUCAAAGCUUUUAAAAGCUGAUGUGUCAUUUCCUGGAUUAACAAUUAUGUUACUAUUAGUUAUUUUUUUGCCACACCCAAUGUGGGCGUUCAGUACGUUGAACUCAAGAUCAAUAAAACAAAAAUGGUCACUUAUAUAUAGAACUAUGAAAUAUAUAGUUCUACAACAUUGGCUUGUUUUUGAAUUUGCCAUAACCUGAAGAAGAUAUCCAGGUUGGUUGUUUAUUAUUGUUCCUGAACAAUGAUAACAAAAAAAAAAAAAA